RNAcentral lists this ribosomal RNA (517 nucleotides) under uncultured bacterium. Its description in RNAcentral is "bacterial SSU rRNA". It matches the Rfam family "Bacterial small subunit ribosomal RNA", at positions 28 to 526 of the family's 1533-position model. The record is from RNAcentral.
GACGAACGCUGGCGGCGUGCUUAACACAUGCAAGUCGAACGGUAAGGCCCUUCGGGGUACACGAGUGGCGAACGGGUGAGUAACACGUGGGUGAUCUGCCCUGCACUCUGGGAUAAGCCUGGGAAACUGGGUCUAAUACCGGAUAUGAGCUCCUGUCGCAUGGCGGGGGUUGGAAAGGUUUACUGGUGCAGGAUGGGCCCGCGGCCUCUCAGCUUGUUGGUGGGGUAAUGGCCUACCAAGGCGACGACGGGUAGCCGGCCUGAGAGGGCGACCGGCCACACUGGGACUGAGCAACGGCCCAGACUCCUCCGGGAGGCAGCAGUGGUGAAUAUUGGACAAUGGGCGCAAGCCUGAUCCAGCCAUGCCGCGUGAGUGAUGACGGCCUUAGGGUUGUAAAGCUCUUUCGCUCGGGACGAUAAUGACGGUACCGAGAUAAGAAGCCCCGGGUUUUUGUCUGGGGUGACGGUAGGUGGAGAAGAAGCACCGGCCAACUACGUGCCAGCAGCCGCCGUAAAAC